GGGUAGUUUGACUGGGGCGGUCUCCUCCUAAAGAGUAACGGAGGAGCACGAAGGUUGGCUAAUCCUGGUCGGACAUCAGGAGGUUAGUGCAAUGGCAUAAGCCAGCUUGACUGCGAGCGUGACGGCGCGAGCAGGUGCGAAAGCAGGUCAUAGUGAUCCGGUGGUUCUGAAUGGAAGGGCCAUCGCUCAACGGAUAAAAGGUACUCCGGGGAUAACAGGCUGAUACCGCCCAAGAGUUCAUAUCGACGGCGGUGUUUGGCACCUCGAUGUCGGCUCAUCACAUCCUGGGGCUGAAGUAGGUCCCAAGGGUAUGGCUGUUCGCCAUUUAAAGUGGUACGCGAGCUGGGUUUAGAACGUCGUGAGACAGUUCGGUCCCUAUCUGCCGUGGGCGCUGGAGAACUGAGGGGGGCUGCUCCUAGUACGAGAGGACCGGAGUGGACGCAUCACUGGUGUUCGGGUUGUCAUGCCAAUGGCACUGCCCGGUAGCUAAAUGCGGAAGAGAUAAGUGCUGAAAG
This 515-nucleotide ribosomal RNA is filed under the name Escherichia coli. Its description in RNAcentral is "partial 23S ribosomal RNA". It matches the Rfam family "Bacterial large subunit ribosomal RNA", at positions 2263 to 2777 of the family's 2925-position model. Lineage: Bacteria; Pseudomonadati; Pseudomonadota; Gammaproteobacteria; Enterobacterales; Enterobacteriaceae. The record is from RNAcentral.